RNAcentral lists this ribosomal RNA (460 nucleotides) under uncultured bacterium. RNAcentral's name for it is "partial 16S ribosomal RNA". It matches the Rfam family "Bacterial small subunit ribosomal RNA", at positions 36 to 507 of the family's 1533-position model. The record is from RNAcentral.
CUGGCGGCGUGCUUAACACAUGCAAGUCGAACGGAAAGGCCCUGCUUUUGUGGGGUGCUCGAGUGGCGAACGGGUGAGUAACACGUGAGUAACCUGCCCUUGACUUUGGGAUAACUUCAGGAAACUGGGGCUAAUACCGGAUAGGAGCUCCUGCUGCAUGGUGGGGGUUGGAAAGUUUCGGCGGUUGGGGAUGGACUCGCGGCUUAUCAGCUUGUUGGUGGGGUAGUGGCUUACCAAGGCUUUGACGGGUAGCCGGCCUGAGAGGGUGACCGGCCACAUUGGGACUGAGAUACGGCCCAGACUCCUACGGGAGGCAGCAGUGGGGAAUAUUGCACAAUGGGCGGAAGCCUGAUGCAGCAACGCCGCGUGCGGGAUGACGGCCUUCGGGUUGUAAACCGCUUUCGCCUGUGACGAAGCGUGAGUGACGGUAAUGGGUAAAGAAGCACCGGCUAACUACGUG